UUAUAUUAUGAAUUUGUCAGCAUUACAAAAUCAGAAGGAAGAAUUCGUGAAAUAUGAAGACCUUUGGAUUCCUUUUAAUUCUUGUCUUAUGUGUGAUGAAUGCUACUUGCUUAGAUGAUAAAGCCAUUUGUUUGAAGUGCAAAGGUAGUUGUAUAUUACGAGGACCAUGCGUCAACGAUAAAUGCAAUUGUUUCGGACGAAGUGAUUCGCCAUUCGACUACAAAAUAAAAUGAUCAAAUGUACCGUACGCAAAAUAAAAAAAAAAUUGUAUAAAUGCAUAU
Centruroides sculpturatus (bark scorpion) is the source of this 281-nucleotide long non-coding RNA. RefSeq lists it as uncharacterized. Lineage: Eukaryota; Metazoa; Arthropoda; Arachnida; Scorpiones; Buthidae. The transcript is spliced from 3 exons. The record is from RefSeq and is a predicted model, not a curated record.